UACGGGGGGGGCAAGCGUUGUUCGGAAUUACUGGGCGUAAAGGGCUCGUAGGCGGCCAACUAAGUCAGACGUGAAAUCCCUCGGCUUAACCGGGGAACUGCGUCUGAUACUGGAUGGCUUGAAUCCGGGAGAGGGAUGCGGAAUUCCAGGUGUAGCGGUGAAAUGCGUAGAUAUCUGGAGGAACACCGGUGGCGAAGGCGGCAUCCUGGACCGGCAUUGACGCUGAGGAGCGAAAGCCAGGGGAGCAAGCGGG
This 253-nucleotide ribosomal RNA is filed under the name uncultured bacterium. RNAcentral describes it as "partial 16S ribosomal RNA". It matches the Rfam family "Bacterial small subunit ribosomal RNA", at positions 524 to 776 of the family's 1533-position model. The record is from RNAcentral.